This 239-nucleotide ribosomal RNA is filed under the name uncultured bacterium. Its description in RNAcentral is "partial 16S ribosomal RNA". It matches the Rfam family "Bacterial small subunit ribosomal RNA", at positions 15 to 244 of the family's 1533-position model. The record is from RNAcentral.
GAUCCUGGCUCAGGACGAACGCUGGCGGCGCGCCUAACACAUGCAAGUCGAACGAGCGAGAGAGAGCUUGCUUUCUCAAGCGAGUGGCGAACGGGUGAGUAACGCGUGAGGAACCUGCCUCAAAGAGGGGGGACAAACAGUUGGAAACGACUGCGUAAUACCGCAUAAGCCCACGGGUCGGCAUCGACCAGAGGGAAAAGGAGCAAUCCGCUUUGAGAUGGGACCUCGCGUCCGAUUAG